UACAGAGGUCUCAAGCGUUGUUCGGAUUCAUUGGGCGUAAAGGGUGCGUAGGUGGCGAGGUAAGUUGGAUGUGAAAUCCCGGGGCUCAACCCCGGAACUGCAUUCAAUACUGCCUUGCUGGAGUACUGGAGAGGAGAUUGGAAUUUACGGUGUAGCAGUGAAAUGCGUAGAUAUCGUAAGGAAGACCAGUGGCGAAGGCGGAUCUCUGGACAGUUACUGACACUGAGGCACGAAGGCCAGGGGAGCAAACGGG
RNAcentral lists this ribosomal RNA (253 nucleotides) under uncultured bacterium. RNAcentral's name for it is "partial 16S ribosomal RNA". It matches the Rfam family "Bacterial small subunit ribosomal RNA", at positions 524 to 776 of the family's 1533-position model. The record is from RNAcentral.